GAUGAACGCUGGCGGCGUGCCUAAUACAUGCAAGUCGAGCGAACAGAUGAGGAGCUUGCUCCUCUGACGUUAGCGGCGGACGGGUGAGUAACACGUGGAUAGCCUACCUAUAAGACUGGGAUAACUUCGGGAAACCGGAGCUAAUACCGGAUAAUAUAUUGAACCGCAUGGUUCAAUAGUGAAAGACGGUUUUGCUGUCACUUAUAGAUGGAUCCGCGCCGCAUUAGCUAGUUGGUAAGGUAACGGCUUACCAAGGCAACGAUGCGUAGCCGACCUGAGAGGGUGAUCGGCCACACUGGAACUGAGACACGGUCCAGACUCCUACGGGAGGCAGCAGUAGGGAAUCUUCCGCAAUGGGCGAAAGCCUGACGGAGCAACGCCGCGUGAGUGAUGAAGGUCUUCGGAUCGUAAAACUCUGUUAUUAGGGAAGAACAAAUGUGUAAGUAACUAUGCACGUCUUGACGGUACCUAAUCAGAAAACCACGGCUAACUACGU
This 496-nucleotide ribosomal RNA is filed under the name uncultured bacterium. RNAcentral describes it as "partial 16S ribosomal RNA". It matches the Rfam family "Bacterial small subunit ribosomal RNA", at positions 28 to 506 of the family's 1533-position model. The record is from RNAcentral.